Molecule: ribosomal RNA, 497 nt
Filed under: uncultured bacterium
Lineage: Bacteria
Description: partial 16S ribosomal RNA
Rfam family: Bacterial small subunit ribosomal RNA
Source: RNAcentral
GAUGAACGCUGGCGGCGUGCCUAAUACAUGCAAGUCGAGCGAACAGACGAGGAGCUUGCUCCUCUGACGUUAGCGGCGGACGGGUGAGUAACACGUGGAUAACCUACCUAUAAGACUGGGAUAACUUCGGGAAACCGGAGCUAAUACCGGAUAAUAUUUUAAACCGCAUGGUUCAAUAUUGAAAGACGGUUUUGCUGUCACUUAUAGAUGGAUCCGCGCCGCAUUAGCUAGUUGGUAAGGUAACGGCUUACCAAGGCAACGAUGCGUAGCCGACCUGAGAGGGUGAUCGGCCACACUGGAACUGAGACACGGUCCAGACUCCUACGGGAGGCAGCAGUAGGGAAUCUUCCGCAAUGGGCGAAAGCCUGACGGAGCAACGCCGCGUGAGUGAUGAAGGUCUUCGGAUCGUAAAACUCUGUUAUUAGGGAAGAACAAAUGUGUAAGUAACUAUGCACGUCUUGACGGUACCUAAUCAGAAAGCCACGGCUAACUACGUG